UGGCGGCCGUAGCGCGGUGGUCCCACCUGACCCCAUGCCGAACUCAGAAGUGAAACGCCGUAGCGCCGAUGGUAGUGUGGAACUGCCAGGCAUCAAAUA
This 99-nucleotide ribosomal RNA is filed under the name Escherichia coli. Lineage: Bacteria; Pseudomonadati; Pseudomonadota; Gammaproteobacteria; Enterobacterales; Enterobacteriaceae. The record is from RNAcentral.